This 253-nucleotide ribosomal RNA is filed under the name uncultured bacterium. RNAcentral's name for it is "partial 16S ribosomal RNA". It matches the Rfam family "Bacterial small subunit ribosomal RNA", at positions 524 to 776 of the family's 1533-position model. The record is from RNAcentral.
UACGUAGGUGGCAAGCGUUGUCCGGAAUUAUUGGGCGUAAAGAGCGCGCAGGCGGUCUGACAAGUCAGAUGUGAAAGCCCACGGCUCAACCGUGGAGGGUCAUUGGAAACUGGGGGACUUGAGUGCAGAAGAGGAAAGCGGAAUUCCACGUGUAGCGGUGAAAUGCGUAGAGAUGUGGAGGAACACCAGUGGCGAAGGCGGCUUUCUGGUCUGUAACUGACGCUGAGGCGCGAAAGCGUGGGGAGCAAACAGG